GAGCACGUAGGUGGGUUUGUAAGUCAGUUGUGAAAGCCUUCUGCUUAACGGAAGAACAGCAGCUGAUACUGCAAGGCUAGAGUGCGGAAGGGGAGAGUGGAACCUCUGGUGGAGCGGUGAAAUGCGUAGAUAUCAGAAGGAACACCGGCGGCGAAAGCGGCUCUCUGGCCCAUAACUGACGCUGAGUGUGCGAAAGCUAGGGGAGCAAACGGGAUUAGAUACCCCGGUAGUCCUAGCCGUAAACGAUGGGCACUAAGUAGAGGGGUUUU
RNAcentral lists this ribosomal RNA (269 nucleotides) under uncultured anaerobic ammonium-oxidizing bacterium. RNAcentral's name for it is "partial 16S ribosomal RNA". It matches the Rfam family "Bacterial small subunit ribosomal RNA", at positions 565 to 832 of the family's 1533-position model. The record is from RNAcentral.